This 322-nucleotide ribosomal RNA is filed under the name uncultured eukaryote. RNAcentral describes it as "partial 18S ribosomal RNA". It matches the Rfam family "Eukaryotic small subunit ribosomal RNA", at positions 1470 to 1796 of the family's 1831-position model. The record is from RNAcentral.
CCCUUAGAUGUUCUGGGCCGCACGCGUGCUACACUGAGUAAAUCAAUGGGUAAGGGAACACGAAAGUGCAACCUAAUCUUGAAAUUUGCUCGUGAUGGGGAUCGACGGUUGCAAUUUUCCGUCGUGAACGAGGAAUACCUUGUAGGCGCGUGUCAUCAUCACGCGCCGAAUACGUCCCUGCCCUUUGUGCACACCGCCCGUCGCUCCUACCGAUUGAGUGAUCCGGUGAGGCUCUGGGACCUGGACGGAAAGAGCGUUUCGCUUGUUCUGUUUGGGAAACUUGGUCGAACCUUAUCAUUUAGAGGAAGGAGAAGUCGUAACA